AAGUCGUAACAAGGUUUCCGUAGGUGAACCUGCGGAAGGAUCAUUACCGAGAGCGAGCGAAAGCGAGCGAAUCUUUUAACAUGUUGCCGCGUUGUUGGAGAGUGGUGAGUGAUGGUAGUAGUCAUCAUCACUAUUCUGCCAUUUUUUAUUUUUACACGCACCAUGGACAUGGACAUGAUAUGAUCAUUGAUCACGAUAUAUAUAAACAAACAACUUUUAACAAUGGAUCUCUUGGCUCUU
This 240-nucleotide unclassified non-coding RNA is filed under the name fungal sp. RNAcentral's name for it is "partial internal transcribed spacer region". The stretch from base 1 to 46 matches the Rfam family "Eukaryotic small subunit ribosomal RNA", at positions 1786 to 1831 of the family's 1831-position model. RNAcentral also lists the same sequence under 1 other name. Lineage: Eukaryota; Fungi. The record is from RNAcentral.